RNAcentral lists this ribosomal RNA (530 nucleotides) under Streptomyces sp. SID4945. RNAcentral's name for it is "partial 23S ribosomal RNA". It matches the Rfam family "Bacterial large subunit ribosomal RNA", at positions 1 to 461 of the family's 2925-position model. Lineage: Bacteria; Bacillati; Actinomycetota; Actinomycetes; Kitasatosporales; Streptomycetaceae. The record is from RNAcentral.
ACAGUGGACGCGAGCAUCUGUGGCCAAGUUUUUAAGGGCGCACGGUGGAUGCCUUGGUACCAGGAACCGAUGAAGGACGUGGGAGGCCGCGAUAGGCCCCGGGGAGCUGUCAACCGAGCUUUGAUCCGGGGGUGUCCGAAUGGGGAAACCCGGCAGUCGUCAUGGGCUGUCACCCGCUGCUGAAUGUAUAGGCAGUGUGGAGGGAACGCGGGGAAGUGAAACAUCUCAGUACCCGCAGGAAGAGAAAACAACCGUGAUUCCGGGAGUAGUGGCGAGCGAAACCGGAUGAGGCCAAACCGUAUGUGUGUGAUACCCGGCAGGGGUUGCAUGUACGGGGUUGUGGGAUUGCGCUUCAGUCGUCUGCCGGCGGCUGGGUGAGUCAGAAACCAUCAUGAUAGGCGAAGGACAUGCGAAAGGUCCGGCGUAGAGGGUAAGACCCCCGUAGCUGAAAUCGUGGUGGCUCACUUGCGUUAUUCCCAAGUAGCACGGGGCCCGAGAAAUCCUGUGUGAAUCUGGCGGGACCACCCGCC